Carica papaya (papaya) is the source of this 1816-nucleotide RNA transcript. It is a transcript of the gene named Gag-Pol polyprotein/retrotransposon, with no coding region annotated. The record is from RefSeq and is a predicted model, not a curated record. NCBI's taxonomy places the organism in Eukaryota, Viridiplantae, Streptophyta, Magnoliopsida, Brassicales, Caricaceae.
CCCGGAGGCCUUAUCUCUCAUUCUCAUGUCUCUUUCCCUCAAAUUCUCCGGCCUUUUCUCAUCUAUUUGGCCGUACCUGGGUUUCAGAGAGUUUUCCCAUUUAAGAGUUUACAGCACUUGCAGACGCUCAUACUCACCCCAACCGAAGAACUUCUUCGUUUAUCAACUAAAUCGUAGACCUAUUUGCUCUAUCAACUGCAGCAGCAAUAAUGAUUAUGGCGGUUCAUCAGAUGCUACUCACAGCUUCUCGCCUAAUGACAAAGGUUCAGAUGAAAAUACUAGAAGUGGCUGGCAAGGAUCACUCUCAUCUAAAGAGGUUUUGAUGAGAUUGAGGAGAUACGGAGUUGCUGGAAUAUUAUCAUAUGGACUAUUGAAUACAGCUUAUUAUCUUACAACAUUUCUUCUGGUAUGGUUUUUUGUUGCUCCAGUACCUGGAAGAAUGGGUUAUAUUGCAGCUGUUGAAAGAUUUCUCAAGGUAAUGGCCAUGGUAUGGGCUGGAAGCCAAGUUACCAAGCUUGUAAGAGCUGGAGGGAUUGGAGAGAAGCUCUAAAAGAUCCGAAGUGGAAGAAAGUCAUGAUUGAAUAAAUGAGAGCAUUGACAAAAAAUGAAACAUGGGAACUUGUUUCACAUCUACAGGGAAAAAAGAUGGUUGCAAAUGGGUCACUGUAAAACACAAAGUAGACGGAUCGAUCGAAAGCUAAUCUUGAUUGGAAUUUACAACAGUUUGAUGUAAAAAAUGCAUUCCUCCAUGAAGACUUAGAAAAAGAGGUGUACAUGAAAAUUUCACAUGGAUUUGAAGAUGAGAGGAUGCAAGGAAAAGUUUGUCAAUUAAACAAGGCUUUAUAUGGAUUAAAGCAGUCUUCAAGAGCAUAGUUUGAACAGUUUAGAACAGUUAUAAUCUCUUUUGGAUAUCAACAAAGUAAUACAGAUCGUACCUUAUUUAUUAAACAUUGUGAGGGUAAAGUCAUUUUUCUCAUUGUUUAUGUGGAUAAUAUUGUGGUGACUGGAGAUGAUACAAAGGAGAUGACUCAGUUGAAGGAACUUAUUGCUCAAGAGUUUGAAAUAAAAGAUUUAGAAACAUUGCGAUAUUUUUUGGGGAUUGAAGUUGGCAGAUCCAAUAAGGGAAUCUUCAUUUUUCAAAGGAACUAUAUCCUAAACUUAUUAGAAGAGACUGGUAUGAUGGGUUGUAAGCCGGCAGAAUCACCUAUUGAGAGCAACCACAAAUUGCAAGCAAGUAGUGGUACAUUAGUUGACUUGGGAAGAUACCAGAGAUUAGUUGGAAGACUUAUUUAUCUCUCACAUACCAGACCCGAUAUAGCAUAUGCAGUUAGUCUUAUGAGCCAUUACAUGCAUGAUCCUCGUGACACUCAUUUACAUGUUAUUUUCCGCAUAUUACAAUACUUAAAGUCUGUACCAGAAAAAGGUCUGUUUUUUUUUAAGUAUGGUCACCUUAAAAUAUAAGCAUUUACAGAUGCCGAUUGGGCUGGUUCUCUAGAUGAUAGAAGAUCACUUACAGAUUACUGCACACUUGUAGGAGGCAACUUAGUCACAUGGAAAAGUAAAAAAUAAAGUGUGAUUGCUCGCUUCAGUGUUAAGGCAGAAUAUAGAGCAAUGUCUCAAAGAGUAUGUGAAGUACUAUAGUUGCAAAAGCUAAUGGGGGAGUUAAAACUACUUAAAAAUGAAAAACUCUGUGUUUUGUGACAAUAAAGCAACAAUUAACAUUGUUUAUAAUUCAGUUCAAUAUGACAGAAUAAAACACAUUGAGAUUGAUCGACACUUUAUAAAAGAGAAAGUGGUUGGUGGUUCUCUAUGUUUA